Molecule: ribosomal RNA, 296 nt
Filed under: uncultured bacterium
Lineage: Bacteria
Description: partial 16S ribosomal RNA
Rfam family: Bacterial small subunit ribosomal RNA
Source: RNAcentral
CCUACGGGGGGCAGCAGUAGGGAAUCUUUCACAAUGGGCGAAAGCCUGAUGGAGCAACGCCGCGUGCAGGAUGAAGGCCUUCGGGUUGUAAACUGCUUUUAUAAGCGAGAAAUAUGAUGGUAACUUAUGAAUAAGGAUCGGCUAACUACGUGCCAGCAGCCGCGGUAAUACGUAGGGGGCAAGCGUUAUCCGGAAUCACUGGGUGUAAAGGGAGCGUAGACGGCUGAGCAAGCCUGAAGUGAAAGGCGGGGGCCCAACCCCCGGACUGCUUUGGGAACUGUACGGCUGGAGUGCAG